GCUACAGAUGUUGAAACACGAACUAAUCUUGUGGCUGAUAAAUGAAUUUUGAAGUGUCUAUGGAAAUGUGAAUAAAGGCAAUCCAUGAAUAGGUCAACUUCUUCCUGGGUAACCUCCCCAGGUGUUUUGUGGACACUGUCCCAUAGAGCUUUUGCAUCCUCUGGAUGUAUUGCGAAAGAAAUGUCCAGACUUUGAGGGCUACAGGGUACAGACCAAAGAAAUUCAGUAGUAGCCACAUAAUGGUCCAUUUUGCAUGCAGUCCACAUGGCAGCCAUCCAGGAAAGAUUAAAUGCAUUGAUUGCUAAAGGACUGAAAUAACAGUCAAAGGUUUUCUGAAACCAAGUUCCAUUUACCUUCUCUAUUCUCAGAUGGCAAUUGAGAUUUUGA
This 387-nucleotide long non-coding RNA is filed under the name Pan troglodytes (chimpanzee). Its description in RNAcentral is "long non-coding RNA NONPTRT000559". The record is from RNAcentral. Lineage: Eukaryota; Metazoa; Chordata; Mammalia; Primates; Hominidae.